GCGGACAUGGUGGAAUUGGCAGACACGUUAGAUUUAGGAUCUAAUAGCUACGGCUGUAAGGGUUCAAGUCCCUUUGUCCGUA
Molecule: transfer RNA, 82 nt
Filed under: Ancyromonas sigmoides
Lineage: Eukaryota; Ancyromonadida; Ancyromonadidae
Description: tRNA-Leu
Rfam family: tRNA
About the family: Transfer RNA (tRNA) molecules are approximately 80 nucleotides in length. Their secondary structure includes four short double-helical elements and three loops (D, anti-codon, and T loops). Further hydrogen bonds mediate the characteristic L-shaped molecular structure. tRNAs have two regions of fundamental functional importance: the anti-codon, which is responsible for specific mRNA codon recognition, and the 3' end, to which the tRNAs corresponding amino acid is attached (by aminoacyl-tRNA synthetases). tRNAs cope with the degeneracy of the genetic code in two manners: having more than one tRNA (with a specific anti-codon) for a particular amino acid; and 'wobble' base-pairing, i.e. permitting non-standard base-pairing at the 3rd anti-codon position.
Source: RNAcentral